AGCCUUCUGUAUCUGCGCUGAGAUUUCGUCAGAGAUCAACCCAUUGUGGCUGAUGGUACUUCCUAAAUAAGUGAAGCA
Non-coding RNA from Trichobilharzia regenti, 78 nucleotides. Lineage: Eukaryota; Metazoa; Platyhelminthes; Trematoda; Strigeidida; Schistosomatidae. The record is from Rfam.